GCACUCGUAGCUCAGCUGGAUAGAGCGCUGCCCUCCGGAGGCAGAGGUCGUGGGUUCGAAUCCCGCCGAGUGCGCCA
This 77-nucleotide transfer RNA is filed under the name Alphaproteobacteria bacterium. RNAcentral's name for it is "tRNA-Arg". It matches the Rfam family "tRNA". From Rfam's summary of the family: Transfer RNA (tRNA) molecules are approximately 80 nucleotides in length. Their secondary structure includes four short double-helical elements and three loops (D, anti-codon, and T loops). RNAcentral also lists the same sequence under 2 other names. Lineage: Bacteria; Pseudomonadati; Pseudomonadota; Alphaproteobacteria. The record is from RNAcentral.